GAUGAACGCUGGCGGCGUGCCUAAUACAUGCAAGUCGAGCGAACGGACGAGAAGCUUGCUUCUCUGAUGUUAGCGGCGGACGGGUGAGUAACACGUGGAUAACCUACCUAUAAGACUGGGAUAACUUCGGGAAACCGGAGCUAAUACCGGAUGAUAUUUUGAACCGCAUGGUUCAAAAGUGAAAGACGGUCUUGCUGUCACUUAUAGAUGGAUCCGCGCUGCAUUAGCUAGUUGGUAAGGUAACGGCUUACCAAGGCAACGAUGCAUAGCCGACCUGAGAGGGUGGUCGGCCACCCUGGAACUGAGACACGGUCCAGACUCCUACGGGAGGCAGCAGUAGGGAAUCUUCCGCAAUGGGCGAAAGCCUGACGGAGCAACGCCGCGUGAGUGAUGAAGGUCUUCGGAUCGUAAAACUCUGUUAUUAGGGAAGAACAUAUGUGUAAGUAACUGUGCACAUCUUGACGGUACCUAAUCAGAAAGCCACGGCUAACUACGUG
This 497-nucleotide ribosomal RNA is filed under the name uncultured bacterium. Its description in RNAcentral is "partial 16S ribosomal RNA". It matches the Rfam family "Bacterial small subunit ribosomal RNA", at positions 28 to 507 of the family's 1533-position model. The record is from RNAcentral.